Sinocyclocheilus grahami is the source of this 581-nucleotide non-coding RNA. Lineage: Eukaryota; Metazoa; Chordata; Actinopteri; Cypriniformes; Cyprinidae. The record is from the annotation of a RefSeq genome assembly.
CAAACAAUGAAACUAUGGCUGAUGGAGACAUUAAUAAUAUUGGGAUUAGUUGUUCUUGGAUGUCAGUCAGAUGACACAGUUGAUCAGCCAUUUAAACAUGUUACUAAAUUUGAGGGAGAAUCAGUAACAUUGGACUGCAAAUAUACUACAGCCUCAACAUCACAAGAGCUUUUCUGGUACAUACAGAGAACAGAAGAAUCUCCUAAACUUGUGUUACAAAGGAAUUCAUACGGAGGAGGAAGUAAUGGAACAGAGUUCCAGGAGAGAUUUUACUCUGAGGUGAAACCAUCAAAAUCAGUUCCACUGAUAAUCCAGAGACUGUGUGUGUCUGACUCUGCUGUGUACUACUGUGCUUUGAGGCCCACAGUGUUAACAGGAAGCCUCUCUCUCAUACAAAAUCAAAAGAAACAUAUACAAGGAAGAGGGAGGAGUGGAGUAUUUCCUGACAGCAUUGGACCAAAAAACAAGGAUGCUAUAAUCAAUAAAGAAGGAGAGUCUGUGACACUGAGCUGCUCAUACAGUACAAUCAGCAAUGAUGUUUUGCUUUACUGGUACAAACAGUAUCCCGACACAGAACCUCA